CCUACGGGUGGCAGCAGUGAGGAAUAUUGGUCAAUGGGCGGGAGCCUGAACCAGCCAAGUCGCGUGAGUGAAGACGGUCCUAUGGAUUGUAAACCUCUUUAGGCGGGGAGCAAUGCCGGGCACGCGUGCCCGGAGGGAGAGUACCCUCCGAAUCAGCAUCGGCUAACUCCGUGCCAGCAGCCGCGGUACUACGGAGACUGCGAGCGUUAGCCGGAUUUAUUGGGGUAAAAGGGUGCGGAGGCGGAUUUUUAAGUCAGCGGUAAACUGUCCGGGUUCAAACCGGGCCGGCCGUUGAAACUGGGGAUCUUGAGUGGGCGAGAGGUAAGCGGAAUGCGUGGUGUAGCGGUGAAAUGCAUAGAUAUCACGCAGAACUCCGAUUGCGAAGGCAGCAUACCGGCGCCCGACUGACGCUGAGGCACGAAAGCGUGGGGAUCGAACAGGAUUAGAUACCCUUGUAGUC
RNAcentral lists this ribosomal RNA (460 nucleotides) under uncultured bacterium. RNAcentral's name for it is "partial 16S ribosomal RNA". It matches the Rfam family "Bacterial small subunit ribosomal RNA", at positions 338 to 795 of the family's 1533-position model. The record is from RNAcentral.